UAGAGUUUGAUCCUGGCUCAGAUUGAACGCUGGCGGCAGGCCUAACACAUGCAAGUCGAGCGGAAACGAGUUAUCUGAACCUUCGGGGAACGAUAACGGCGUCGAGCGGCGGACGGGUGAGUAAUGCCUAGGAAAUUGCCUUGAUGUGGGGGAUAACCAUUGGAAACGAUGGCUAAUACCGCAUAAUGCCUACGGGCCAAAGAGGGGGACCUUCGGGCCUCUCGCGUCAAGAUAUGCCUAGGUGGGAUUAGCUAGUUGGUGAGGUAAUGGCUCACCAAGGCGACGAUCCCUAGCUGGUCUGAGAGGAUGAUCAGCCACACUGGAACUGAGACACGGUCCAGACUCCUACGGGAGGCAGCAGUGGGGAAUAUUGCACAAUGGGCGAAAGCCUGAUGCAGCCAUGCCGCGUGUAUGAAGAAGGCCUUCGGGUUGUAAAGUACUUUCAGUUGUGAGGAAGGGGGUGUCGUUAAUAGCGGC
Molecule: ribosomal RNA, 477 nt
Filed under: Vibrio sp. EF4A-B696
Lineage: Bacteria; Pseudomonadati; Pseudomonadota; Gammaproteobacteria; Vibrionales; Vibrionaceae
Description: bacterial SSU rRNA
Rfam family: Bacterial small subunit ribosomal RNA
Source: RNAcentral